Dromaius novaehollandiae (emu) is the source of this 1137-nucleotide long non-coding RNA. RefSeq lists it as uncharacterized. The transcript is spliced from 2 exons. The record is from RefSeq and is a predicted model, not a curated record. NCBI's taxonomy places the organism in Eukaryota, Metazoa, Chordata, Aves, Casuariiformes, Dromaiidae.
CCGCGCCGCCGCCGCCCGCCUCAGCCGCCUGCUCCGCGGGCUCGUCCGGCCCCUGCGGCCCGGCGGCGGCGGGCUCGGCCCCCCCGCGCCGUUGCUGCGCGGCGGGCGGCGGCAGCACGGGCAGCGUGACCACGAGCUGCCGCUUGGCCUUGUCGAAAGCGGCGCGGCCGCGGCCCUCGUCCACGGCGUAGGGCAGGCGCAGGCGCAGGCGGUAGGCGGGCCGCUCCGAGUCGAGGCGCAGCUGGCGGCCGCGCACCUCCAGCGCGGCCUGCGCGGCGCAGCGCAGCAGCGGCAGCUCCACGGGCCGUCACCUCCUCCUCGUACAGCCGCCGCUGCUCCGGGUCGGCCAGCUCCGCCGCGUAGUCGGCGAGCAGCGCCCGGAACUGCUCGUCGCGGAAGGCCCCUCGGAGCCGCUCCACCUCCUCGGCGCUGAGAUCCAGGUCCUCCAGCCGCUCCGCGCCCGCCAUGGCCGCGCUCCGGCCCGGCCGUGCGUUGCCGUGGAGACGCUAAACAAGAUGGCGCCUCCUCCGCGGAGCCGCGCGCGUUGCUGUGGAGACGCCAAACAAGAUGGCGCCUCACCACCGGCCGCGCGCGUUGCCGUGGAGACGCCAAACAAGAUGGCGCCCCCUCCCCGCCGGCCUUCGCUGUGCGAGGCCUCCCUGUGCCUCCCUCCCCGCUCCUUUGGCCUUAACGGCUCCUUGCUUCCUCCUCGCCCGCUCUCAUCUUCCCCAGGGGCGGCUCUAGGCCUCCCUCAUCUUCUUCUCUUUCCCCAGCGGGGUUGGUGCUCUCCACUGCACCGCUGGGCCCCACGUGAUCUGGAGUAUAUCCGGAGGUGUCGGCACAGGCCUUUUGCAGGAGUUUCAAAGCACACGGUCCUUUUUCCUCUUAGUUUUACUUCUCCUCACCUUCUCCGUGCGGUGUGAUGCACGGGCUGAACUGCCAUCAGUAAUCCACACCUUCAUCACACUUCACGAAUCUUCUCCAAACCUUUCCAAAGGAAAAUCUUAGCCCACCUUUCCAGAUCUCCUGUGGACAGCUAGCUAUCAGCUUGACUCAGCAUGGUGAAAAGUCCUAUCUAUUCUAACUUCUUUAAAAAAAUUAAAUAAAAAUAAAUAAAUACUUCCUAUUUGAUAUAUA